AAAGAGACAAUAAUGUCAUCUAUUGCUUUGUUGAUUUAAUUUAUUUAAAGGUAACUUCGAUGUUUAUUAUUGUUGUGACAUUUAACUUGAUUUGUAUUACUGUCUUUAAAACUUUUAGAGAAAUUUAAACAUUCUUCUUCUUUCUUCUAAUCCAUUUUUAUUCAUAUCUAGGUAUUAUUUUUCUGUGGGGUGAUCUUUUAGUAUAUUACUAUCAUUAUGUUUUAACCCUACAAUUUACUAACAGAAGAUGAUGAACUGUAUGUGGCCUCAUUGCUUCUAUUAACAUGAUUAAAUUAAUAUUUCUGCCUGCCUUACAUUUUCUACUACACUAAGAGAAAUAGAAACACACAUAAACAGAUAAUAUGUAUUUUAUAGACAGUUGUCAAAAAUAUUGGAAACAAUUAGAAAUAAAACAAUGAUCAAGAACAAACCUAUGAUCCAAAACUCAAAAAAGCGUUGGAACAAAUGUAGAGAAAUUGGAAGACCCCUUACAUGUUGUUUUGCAGCAUGUGAAAUGGUGUGACUACUCUGAAAAACAGUUUGGCAAUUCCUUAAAAUGUUAAACACAGAGUUACCAUAUGACCUAGCUAUUUUACUCUUAAAGGAAUACCUAAGAUUGAGUAAUUGAUAAAGAAAAGAGAUUUAUUUUGGCUCAUUGUUCUGCAGACUGUAUAAGCAUGAGAGCAGCUUUGGCUUGGCUUCAGUUGAGGGCCGCAGGAAGCUUAUAAUCAUGGCAGAAAGGGAAAGAGGAGCAGGCACAUCACAUGCCAAUAGACUGAGCAAGAAGUGGACAGGAGGAGGUGCCAGGCUCCUUUAAACAAUCAACUUUCAAGUAGACUAACAGAGCAAGAGCUCACUCAUCACCAAGGAGAUGGUGCUAAGCCACUCGUGAAGGAUCCGCCCCCAUGAUCUGACACCUGUCACCAGGCCCCAACUCCAACAUUGAGAUUUGCAGUAAACAAACAUCCAAACCAUAUCGUACAUGAAUGUUCACAGAAUUAUUCACAAUACCAAAACUGGAAGAAACCCAAAUGUCCAUCAAUUGUUGAAUAAUUAAACAAAAUGCAGUGUCUCUAUGCCAUGUAAGAUUGUCAAUUAUAAGAAAGAAGUGCUAAUACAUGCUACAACAUGAAUAAACCUAAAAAUAUUAU
This 1151-nucleotide long non-coding RNA is filed under the name Homo sapiens (human). Its description in RNAcentral is "HSALNT0323210". The record is from RNAcentral. Lineage: Eukaryota; Metazoa; Chordata; Mammalia; Primates; Hominidae.